Molecule: ribosomal RNA, 499 nt
Filed under: uncultured Methanosaeta sp.
Lineage: Archaea; Methanobacteriati; Methanobacteriota; Methanomicrobia; Methanotrichales; Methanotrichaceae
Description: bacterial SSU rRNA
Rfam family: Archaeal small subunit ribosomal RNA
Source: RNAcentral
GCCCGCUCAGAAACUCAAAUGAAGUUGACGGGGAGCACUACGAACGGGUGGAGCCUGCGGUUUAAGUUGGAUUCAACGCCGGAAGUCUCGACCGGGGCGACAGCAAUAUGAAGGUCAGGCUGAAGACCUUACCCGAUUAGCUGAGAGGUGGUGCAUGGCCGUCGUCAGUUCGUACUGUGAAGCAUCCUGUUAAGUCAGGCAACGAGCGAGACCCACGUCCACAGUUGCCAGCAUACCCUCCGGGGUGAUGGGUACACUGUGGAGACCGCCGCUGCUAAAGCGGAGGAAGGAGUGGGCAACGGUAGGUCAGUAUGCCCCGAAUCUCCCGGGCUACACGCGGGCUACAAUGGUUGGUACAAUGGGCAUCUACCCCGAAAGGGGAAGGAAAUCUCUUAAAGCCAAUCGUAGUUCGGAUUGAGGGCUGCAACUCGCCCUCAUGAAGCUGGAAUCCGUAGUAAUCGCGUUUCAACAGAACGCGGUGAAUACGUCCCUGCUCCUU